UAAUGAAGGCUUUUUUUAAGAUA
RNAcentral lists this small nuclear RNA (23 nucleotides) under Arabidopsis thaliana (thale cress). RNAcentral's name for it is "snRNA_00147". The record is from RNAcentral. Lineage: Eukaryota; Viridiplantae; Streptophyta; Magnoliopsida; Brassicales; Brassicaceae.